GACGAACGCUGGCGGCGUGCUUAACACAUGCAAGUCGAACGAAGAGCGAUGGAAGCUUGCUUCUAUCAAUCUUAGUGGCGAACGGGUGAGUAACGCGUAAUCAACCUGCCCUUCAGAGGGGGACAACAGUUGGAAACGACUGCUAAUACCGCAUACGAUCUAAUCUCGGCAUCGAGGAUAGAUGAAAGGUGGCCUCUACAUGUAAGCUAUCACUGAAGGAGGGGAUUGCGUCUGAUUAGCUAGUUGGAGGGGUAACGGCCCACCAAGGCGAUGAUCAGUAGCCGGUCUGAGAGGAUGAACGGCCACAUUGGGACUGAGACACGGCCCAGACUCCUACGGGAGGCAGCAGUGGGGAAUCUUCCGCAAUGGACGAAGGUCUGACGGAGCAACGCCGCGUGAGUGAUGACGGCCUUCGGGUUGUAAAGCUCUGUUAAUCGGGACGAAAGGCCUUCUUGCGAAUAGUGAGAAGGAUUGACGGUACCGGAAUAGAAAGCCACGGCUAACUACGUG
This 510-nucleotide ribosomal RNA is filed under the name uncultured bacterium. Its description in RNAcentral is "partial 16S ribosomal RNA". It matches the Rfam family "Bacterial small subunit ribosomal RNA", at positions 28 to 507 of the family's 1533-position model. The record is from RNAcentral.